AGGUUAAUAUUCCUGCACCGUCGUAUGAUGCGAUGGGGGGACGGAUCGCGGAAGGUUGUCCAACUGUUGGAAUAGUUGGUUUCUGUCUCAUAGAAGGCGCUUAGGCAAAUCCGGGCGCGGAAUUCAAGGGGAUGGGACGAGUGAACUUGUUCACGAAGCAAUCGGAAGUGGUUCCAAGAAAAGCCUCUAAGCUUCAGUCAUACGAGACCGUACCGCA
Molecule: ribosomal RNA, 217 nt
Filed under: Janthinobacterium lividum
Lineage: Bacteria; Pseudomonadati; Pseudomonadota; Betaproteobacteria; Burkholderiales; Oxalobacteraceae
Description: partial 23S ribosomal RNA
Rfam family: Bacterial large subunit ribosomal RNA
Source: RNAcentral